Molecule: long non-coding RNA, 247 nt
Filed under: Mytilus galloprovincialis (Mediterranean mussel)
Lineage: Eukaryota; Metazoa; Mollusca; Bivalvia; Mytilida; Mytilidae
Source: RNAcentral
CCCUAUGUUCUAUUUUAAGUAACGGCGGCCAUGUUUUUUGACGGAUCAAAAAUCGAAGCGCACAUUUUGUGCAGGAUAUACUAAGGAACAAUCAUGUUAAGUUUCAUUCAAAUCCAUUCAGUAGUUUCAGAGGAGAAGAUGUUUGAAAAAUUGUUAACGACGACAGACGACGACGACGACGACGACGGACGCCAAGUGAUGAGAAAAGCUCACAUGGCCUUUUAGGCCAGGUGAGCUAAAAAUAAGA